GUGAAUCAUCGAAUUUUUGAACGCAAAUUGCGCUUUCUGGCAUCCCGGGAAGUAUGUCUGUUUGAGGGUCUGUAUUAUUAAAAUAUCGGUUGAGUUACAAAUUGUUACGUUUCCGGUGUUGGGGCUUUCUUAACAUUUUUGGUUAAGAGGCUUAAAAUUGACCUUUUUUUCGCUUUUUUAAACUUACAUAAAUUUUUUUUAUUCGUCUAUUCUUAAUGCCAAAAUCUUAUUAAAUGUGAUCUCA
This 244-nucleotide unclassified non-coding RNA is filed under the name Glomeraceae sp. Its description in RNAcentral is "partial contains 5.8S ribosomal RNA and internal transcribed spacer 2". The stretch from base 1 to 71 matches the Rfam family "5.8S ribosomal RNA", at positions 84 to 154 of the family's 154-position model. Lineage: Eukaryota; Fungi; Glomeromycota; Glomeromycetes; Glomerales; Glomeraceae. The record is from RNAcentral.